RNAcentral lists this ribosomal RNA (250 nucleotides) under uncultured prokaryote. Its description in RNAcentral is "partial 16S rRNA". It matches the Rfam family "Bacterial small subunit ribosomal RNA", at positions 525 to 775 of the family's 1533-position model. The record is from RNAcentral.
ACGUAGGGGGCAAGCGUUAUCCGGAAUUAUUGGGCGUAAAGAGUGCGUAGGCGGUUUUUUAAGCGUGAGGUGAAAGGCAAUAGCUUAACUAUUGUAAGCCUUGCGAACGGGAAGAAUUGAAUGCAGGAGAGGAAAGUGGAAUUCCUAGUAUGGCGGUGAAAUGCGUAGAUAUUGGGAGGAAGACCAGUAGCGAGGGGGACCUUCUGGACUGUAACUGACACUGAGACACGAAAGCGUGGAGAACAAACAG